Molecule: small RNA, 1440 nt
Filed under: Arabidopsis thaliana (thale cress)
Lineage: Eukaryota; Viridiplantae; Streptophyta; Magnoliopsida; Brassicales; Brassicaceae
Description: ATSL210190
Source: RNAcentral
CAUUAAUUUACUUGUCGAAUUACAUCCAAUUUGUUUUCUCUAAAUAUUGGAAACUAUCAAACUCUCCAUCAAUUUGAAUUUAAUUACUUAUAGACUUAAGAUCUAGUUCUAGGGUUUAUUAUGGGGAAAAUGUAGAAAAAUGCGUCAACUAUCAAAUUUGGGACGAAAAACAUGAACUUUUGAAAUCUCAUUUAAAUCCUAAAGUUUGGUUGACUUCUAAAAGAAUGGCUAAAUUUCGUUGAUUUGGCCAUUUAAUACAUGCCGUGAAAUUUUCGUUAAUAGAAAACUAACGGAGUUAACUUUUUGUUAGCAGCUCAAAAUGAGCUCGUUUUAAAAUUAAAAAUAAGAAUAAAAUCUGACACAACCUAGUUUUAAUAAUACUUAGUGGUUUAUAGGUAGUUCAUAUUUUGCAUAUGAUUUCUAACUUACUAAUCUGAAUUCAUUUGUAUUCUUAGGUGUGUCAUCUAUGGAAGCAUAACAACUUGGCGCAAUUUGUAGAUCUGCGACUACAAAGCUAUGACAUGGAUGAGGUAAUGAAGACAAUCAAAGUUGGGAUCUUCUAUACGAGUCGUGCAGCUUCUGAUAGGCCACCAAUGUUAGCAGUAGUUAGUAUGUUAGAGGGUCUUCUAAGUGUAGAAGUCGAGAUGCAAGCGCUUAUGGCGGUUCUCAGUGAUGAGGAGCAAUCUCCGGAUCUGUUGAGGAUGAUGGCGGACAUUGACGAAGAAUUCGAAUUACAGGAGAUUAUAGAGACUCUCGAGAGGUAUCCUGUCUCGACAAAGGGAAAAUAGAAGGUUUCAUGUGAUUCUUUUUUCAUUGAGGCUGAGUCGAGUAGAGCUGGAGAAGAGAGAGAAGGAAAAUGAACAUGCAGAUUCAAGGUUUGAUGAUAUUGUUUGUUUUGUAUGAGACAGUUAGACAAGUCACUGUACCACAAGCAUUGAGAUUAUUUGCAAAUUAAGGAAUGAGUAUUAGAUGUCUUCUUAAAUAAUUUUGUGCUAACAUCUCAUUGGUAGUUUAAUCUUUUUUUUUUAAACAUAGGUAAAUUAUAUGCAAAUUAAAAAUUUAGAAACAAAUUAGAACAUGUCAUUUUGUACAAAAGAUGCAUAAAUUAGUGAAAGAAACUCACGUUAUGCAGUCCUCUCAUUUAAAUGUUUUAUCGUAAGAAAUUUGCAAGAACAUAUCUUGCUUAUAUUUUGCUCAAAAGAUAAUGUUGUUGCAUAUUCGAUUUCUUACAAAUUAAUUUUCCAACAUAAAGUCAGUUUAUAUAUUUGCAUUCGGAGACGAAACUAUAUCUUAGGAGAAGACAAAGUAUUUGUUUGAAUGUCAUCAUAGCAUAGUAUCAAAUUGAUUUGGUAACUACGAGGUUGGUUAUAGCUAGGUAUUUGAUUUUAGUUUUAAUUUCUUAACUAGAGAAUUUGAGUUUAAUUUCAAAUAUUUUGAUUU